GACGAACGCUGGCGGCGUGCCUAAUACAUGCAAGUAGAACGCUGAAGGAGGAGCUUGCUUCUCUGGAUGAGUUGCGAACGGGUGAGUAACGCGUAGGUAACCUGCCUUGUAGCGGGGGAUAACUAUUGGAAACGAUAGCUAAUACCGCAUAAGAGUAGAUGUUGCAUGACAUUUGCUUAAAAGGUGCAAUUGCAUCACUACCAGAUGGACCUGCGUUGUAUUAGCUAGUUGGUGGGGUAACGGCUCACCAAGGCGACGAUACAUAGCCGACCUGAGAGGGUGAUCGGCCGCACUGGGACUGAGACACGGCCCAGACUCCUACGGGAGGCAGCAGUAGGGAAUCUUCGGCAAUGGACGGAAGUCUGACCGAGCAACGCCGCGUGAGUGAAGAAGGUUUUCGGAUCGUAAAGCUCUGUUGUAAGAGAAGAACGAGUGUGAGAGUGGAAAGUUCACACUGUGACGGUAUCUUACCAGAAAGGGACGGCUAACUACGUG
This 495-nucleotide ribosomal RNA is filed under the name uncultured bacterium. Its description in RNAcentral is "partial 16S ribosomal RNA". It matches the Rfam family "Bacterial small subunit ribosomal RNA", at positions 28 to 507 of the family's 1533-position model. The record is from RNAcentral.